GACGAACGCUGGCGGCGUGCUUAACACAUGCAAGUCGAACGGAAAGGCCCUGCUUUUGUGGGGUGCUCGAGUGGCGAACGGGUGAGUAACACGUGAGUAACCUGCCCUUGACUUUGGGAUAACUUCAGGAAACUGGGGCUAAUACCGGAUAGGAGCUCCUGCUGCAUGGUGGGGGUUGGAAAGUUUCGGCGGGUGGGGAUGGACUCGCGGCUUAUCAGCUUGUUGGUGGGGUAGUGGCUUACCAAGGCUUUGACGGGUAGCCGGCCGGAGAGGGUGACCGGCCCCAUUGGGCCUGCGAUACGGCCCAGACUCCUCCGUGAGGCCGCAGUGGGGACUAUUGCACACCGGGCGGACGCCUGCUGCAGCCACGCCCCGUGCGUGAUGACGGCCUUCUGGUUGUAAACCGCUUUCGCCUGUGACGAAGCGUUAGUGCCGGUACUGGGUAAAGAAGCACCGGCUCACUACGUG
RNAcentral lists this ribosomal RNA (468 nucleotides) under uncultured bacterium. RNAcentral describes it as "partial 16S ribosomal RNA". It matches the Rfam family "Bacterial small subunit ribosomal RNA", at positions 28 to 507 of the family's 1533-position model. The record is from RNAcentral.